RNAcentral lists this unclassified non-coding RNA (321 nucleotides) under Hevea brasiliensis (rubber tree). The record is from RNAcentral. Lineage: Eukaryota; Viridiplantae; Streptophyta; Magnoliopsida; Malpighiales; Euphorbiaceae.
GAGAGGACGAAACUUAUCAGACUGAAGCAGCAACCGACUCUUCCACUUCCUCCACCGCCACCUCUGGUUCGUCACCGGCGACGACAGUCCAAUCCGGUGGCAGCGGCGGAAGCGGCUGGUAGGCGGUGGGCCCCUUGCGGCGGAUAUCCCACGGCUGCGUCUUCUUCGGCCUAGUCUUCCGGUGGUGCGCUGUCGCCUUCUUCUGCGGCCGCGACGAGCACUCCACCACCAGCCCCGCUGGGCUCACCAUCCCACCGCCGCCGCUGCUGCCGGCGAUGGUGACCCAGCCGCGGAGAUAGGCGGAGGAGGAGGAGGAGAGGG